Molecule: unclassified non-coding RNA, 139 nt
Filed under: uncultured Helotiales
Lineage: Eukaryota; Fungi; Ascomycota; Leotiomycetes; Helotiales
Description: sequence contains ITS2
Source: RNAcentral
CUGCCCUCAAGCACGGCUUGUGUGUUGGGUCUCGCCGUUUGGCGGGCCUUAAAAUCAGUAACAGUGUCGUUGGAGGCCCUGAGCGUAGUAUAUAUUCUCGCUAUAGGAACUUCCACGGCCAUUAACCCUCACUUUCUAA